Molecule: ribosomal RNA, 519 nt
Filed under: uncultured bacterium
Lineage: Bacteria
Description: bacterial SSU rRNA
Rfam family: Bacterial small subunit ribosomal RNA
Source: RNAcentral
CAGGCCUAACACAUGCAAGUCGAACGAGAAAUCGGGCACUCAGGCAACUGAGUGCCGGAGAGUAAAGUGGCGCACGNGGUGAGUAACACGUGGGUAACCUACCCCCGAAUCUGGGAUAACCUCGCGAAAGCGUUGCUAAUACCGGAUAUUGUCCUAUUGGUUUUGGCCUUUGGGAUGAAAGGCAACCUCUUCAUGAAAGUUGUCGUUCAAGGAUGGGCCCGCGUACCAUUAGCUUGUUGGUGGGGUAACGGCUUACCAAGGCUACGAUGGUUAGCUGGUCUGAGAGGAUGAUCAGCCACACUGGAACUGAAACACGGUCCAGACUCCUACGGGAGGCAGCAGUGAGGAAUUUUGCGCAAUGGGGGAAACCCUGACGCAGCAACGCCGCGUGAGUGAAGAAGGCUUUCGGGUCGUAAAGCUCUGUCAAGUGGGAAAAAAAUCUGAUGAUUAAUAGUUGUCAGAUCUGAUGGUACCACUGGAGGAAGCACCGGCUAACUCCGUGCCAGCAGCCGCGGUAAU